Chiloscyllium plagiosum (whitespotted bambooshark) is the source of this 251-nucleotide non-coding RNA. Lineage: Eukaryota; Metazoa; Chordata; Chondrichthyes; Orectolobiformes; Hemiscylliidae. The record is from RefSeq and is a predicted model, not a curated record.
UCUUCCUUUGGGCCUUCAUUCUCAGGCACCCACUGGCUAGCCAGAUAGAUGUUCAUGUGCCUCCGGAAGCAUAAAUGCACAACAGGAAAUUUAGAGUGAGGGAAGAUCGGGGUAAGUGGAAAGUUACAGAUGCCUGAACACAACAUUGUCAGACUGACGUUCAAGCCAGACUCGAAUCAGAAUGCAACGUUUAAGUUGGGAAUUAAAGUGUUAAAUUGAAGGAGGAAACUGGAGAACUCAGAGGAAACCCA